GUGCUGGCCUCAGCAGCACAUAUACUAAAAUUGGGAUGAUACAGAGGAGAUUAGCAUGGCCCCUGCACAAGGAUGACACCCAAAUUUGUGAGGUGUCCCAUUUUUAU
Molecule: small nuclear RNA, 107 nt
Filed under: Dasypus novemcinctus (nine-banded armadillo)
Lineage: Eukaryota; Metazoa; Chordata; Mammalia; Cingulata; Dasypodidae
Source: RNAcentral